Molecule: ribosomal RNA, 497 nt
Filed under: uncultured bacterium
Lineage: Bacteria
Description: partial 16S ribosomal RNA
Rfam family: Bacterial small subunit ribosomal RNA
Source: RNAcentral
GAUGAACGCUGGCGGCGUGCCUAAUACAUGCAAGUCGAGCGAACAGAUAAGGAGCUUGCUCCUUUGACGUUAGCGGCGGACGGGUGAGUAACACGUGGGUAACCUACCUAUAAGACUGGAAUAACUCCGGGAAACCGGGGCUAAUGCCGGAUAACAUUUAGAACCGCAUGGUUCUAAAGUGAAAGAUGGUUUUGCUAUCACUUAUAGAUGGACCCGCGCCGUAUUAGCUAGUUGGUAAGGUAACGGCUUACCAAGGCAACGAUACGUAGCCUACCUGAGAGGGUGAUCGGCCACACUGGAACUGAGACACGGUCCAGACUCCUACGGGAGGCAGCAGUAGGGAAUCUUCCGCAAUGGGCGAAAGCCUGACGGAGCAACGCCGCGUGAGUGAUGAAGGUCUUCGGAUCGUAAAACUCUGUUAUUAGGGAAGAACAAAUGUGUAAGUAACUGUGCACGUCUUGACGGUACCUAAUCAGAAAGCCACGGCUAACUACGUG